This 71-nucleotide transfer RNA is filed under the name Dipodomys ordii (Ord's kangaroo rat). It matches the Rfam family "tRNA". From Rfam's summary of the family: Transfer RNA (tRNA) molecules are approximately 80 nucleotides in length. Their secondary structure includes four short double-helical elements and three loops (D, anti-codon, and T loops). Further hydrogen bonds mediate the characteristic L-shaped molecular structure. tRNAs have two regions of fundamental functional importance: the anti-codon, which is responsible for specific mRNA codon recognition, and the 3' end, to which the tRNAs corresponding amino acid is attached (by aminoacyl-tRNA synthetases). tRNAs cope with the degeneracy of the genetic code in two manners: having more than one tRNA (with a specific anti-codon) for a particular amino acid; and 'wobble' base-pairing, i.e. permitting non-standard base-pairing at the 3rd anti-codon position. The record is from Rfam by way of RNAcentral. Lineage: Eukaryota; Metazoa; Chordata; Mammalia; Rodentia; Heteromyidae.
GGAGAUAUGGCUCAAAUGAUAGGGCGCCUGUCUACCAAAUAGGAAGCCCUGAGUUGAAACCCAUAUUGCCA